Molecule: ribosomal RNA, 433 nt
Filed under: uncultured bacterium
Lineage: Bacteria
Description: partial 16S ribosomal RNA
Rfam family: Bacterial small subunit ribosomal RNA
Source: RNAcentral
AACGAACGCUGGCGGCAUGCCUAACACAUGCAAGUCGAACGAGACCUUCUGGUCUAGUGGCGCACGGGUGCGUAACGCGUGGGAACCUGCCCUUAGGUUCGGAAUAACUCCCCGAAAGGGGUGCUAAUACCGGAUAAUGUCUUCGGACCAAAGAUUUAUCGCCUUUGGAUGGGCCCGCGUUGGAUUAGCUAGUUGGUAGGGUAAAAGCCUACCAAGGCGACGAGCCAUAGCUGGUCUGAGAGGAUGAUCCGCCACACUGGGACUGAGACACGGCCCAGACUCCUACGGGAGGCAGCAGUGGGGAAUAUUGGACAAUGGGCGAAAGCCUGAUCCAGCAAUGCCGCGUGAGUGAUGAAGGCCUUAGGGUUGUAAAGCUCUUUUACCCGGGAUGAUAAUGACAGUACCGGGAGAAUAAGCUCCGGCUAACUCCGUG